GGGGACACCAAGGUGGGAUGGAGUCAUGGAACAGGAAUGGGGACACCAGGAGCCAAGACAGCAUCACAGGGCUUGUGUCUGGGGCAGGUGGUGCUGGUGGAGCAGGAUCCCCUCCUGUUUUCUGGAACAAUCCGUGAAAACGUUGUGCUGGGGCUGGAGCACUGCAAAGAAUCAGAGCUGCAGGAGGCUGCCAGUGCUGCUGGAGCCAUGGACUUCAUCCAGGGACUGGAGCAGGGCUGGGACACUGGUGAGAGCAAGGGGAUACCAAGGGAAUCCUGGGGCCUGGGACUUCAUCCUGGGGUUGGAGUGGGGAUGGGACAUUGAUGAGAGCUGGGGGGAUGUGGCAUCCCUAGGGCACAUGCCCCUGAUCUCAGGAUCCUUGGCAGAGAUGGUAGAGCAUGGUGGGUGGCAGAUGUUGUGGUGUGCAGGGGAUCUCUAAGGUCAGAUCCCACUGAUCCCAUGGGAUUGCUCCCACAGAGGUGGGGGAGCAUGGGGGGCGGCUGGCAGCAGGGGAGCGGCGCCGUGUGGCCCUGGCCCGGGCUCUGCUCCGGCGUCCAGCUGUCCUCAUCCUCGACGAGGCAUUGGAUGAUGGAGACGAGGGAGCGGCACAGCGCUGGGUGCGCGCUGGCCUGGCCCAGACCGUGCUGGUUGUGUCCCACCGGCCGCGGGUACUGGAUGCGGCCGAUCGCCUCGUGGUGCUGGAGCACGGAGCCGUGGUGGAGACAGGAACUCCAGCGGAGCUGCGGAAACACUGUGGGGCCUACAGCCGCCUGCUCCUUGGAGGAGGCAGCACUGGGCAGCCUGAGGCCCCCAGGAUGGGCGGCGAGAAGGGGGCUGCAUCUGGCAGGAGAUAAAGGGGAAUUAGCCCAAAUGUUCCCAUUCCCAGUGUUUGUGUCCCCAACCAGCUCCUGGUGUCCCCAGUCACAGUGUCCUGUGAAUCCCUUAUCCCCACAUCCUCUGGAUCUCAGCUCCCUGUGUCACCUUGGUCCCUGUGUCCCCCUUGUCCCCACUGUGUCCCCCAGAUCAGCCCAUUCCUUGGAUAUCUGUGUCCCCUGUAUCCUUCCUUGUAUCCAAGCCCCACCAUGUCUCCAUGAUUCCCGGUCCCCAUGUCUGCUCCUGGACAUGCAACACAGAGUGGGAAAUAAAUUCCAAGGAAUGGAUCUGGGCAUGGGCAUAUCCUCAUCCCACUCUUGCUGUGCUCACUCCAAGCUCCUGGUGUCCCCAGUCCAUUCCCACUGUUCCCAUCCUCAUCCCCAGUGUCUUCAUCCCAAUUUCAUCCCAUCCCAUGUCCCCUUUUCUAUUCCUGGUUCCCCGAGAGGAAGUGCUGGGCACUGGAGGAGGGAACUGGGCUUUAUUGUCCAAACCAGGGUAUUUUCACACCAGAAUUAAAACAUUUGGAAUAAUUGUCAUUCUUGUUCAUCUGCAUGGAGGUGAUCCAGAGCUGGAUCUGCCUCGGUGUUAGAUCACAUGUGGGGGGUGAGGGGCACAGGAGACAGAGACCCCUCCUCCCAAUGUUUGCAUGGCAACAGAGGGUUUUUUCCAAUCCCUCCUUUAUAUAUGGCAUUUGAAAGGCCCAGUCUGGAUGCUCUCACUGGUUUGAGAUCCACACCCCUUCGGGUCGGGGCCACUGAAAUGCCUGCAGUUUUAUGAGCGAUCUAAUUGGUCAAAACUCUUGUCACUCAGCCCAGGGGCUGGCAUUGUGACACUAUCAUCUCACCCUUUCUGUUCUACAAAUUUUGAUUUGCAUUAUAGCUGCAGCAUUUAUAUCCAGGACCUGACAGGGGAGAGCCACAGGCAUUAGGUUACAGAUUACAACUUACUUGUAAAAAACAACAAACCAUUUGACCCUUGAAGAAAAUGAAAACAGUCUGUAAGAACAAGAAUCAUUUAAC
This 1892-nucleotide long non-coding RNA is filed under the name Chloebia gouldiae (Gouldian finch). RNAcentral describes it as "Erythrura gouldiae (Gouldian finch) lncRNA (ENSEGOG00005014941.1)". Lineage: Eukaryota; Metazoa; Chordata; Aves; Passeriformes; Passeridae. The record is from RNAcentral.